UUGUAGUUUAUUUGAAAUAUAGGCUAUUUAGGUAAGAUAACAUUCUACCGUUUAUAACUAGUUUCCUAGUACAAACGUUCAAAAUGUGUGUCAGAUUAACAUCAAAACAUGUAUAUCUAUUACCAGAUGUUUAUAUUUGUGUGUAAUUGAGUUUCAGGGAUGAAGAAUUCAAUGGGCUUUUCCCUACCAUGUUAACACUUACUCAUUUGCUCUUUCGUUCUUAAAUAUUACUUUGCCGGAGAUAAAUGUUGUUUAUUUUUUUCUUGCGCGGCUGUCCUGCUAACAAAAACAACCGGUAGUGACUACACUAGACACUACAAAAGUCAUCUCAGCUGCACAACACACCAUCCUGUUUUGCUACAAGAUUACGUUCUAACCUAUUUCCGUUUCUCAUUGAAACGAUCAGAGGAGAACCAGACAUGACUUAUCUGAUCUUCAAACUGUGUGUUCUACUUAGCUUCGCAGUUUCAGGCUUAGCAGUGACAGUAAACGAAGAUGGUAAGGAGGUAGACUGUAGUGUCCCAUGUGCUUGUUGUAGAGAAGGACGAAAACGUUGUGGAAAAAGUCAUAUUUGCGAUUCUGGCUGCAUUGAUACAGUAUAUGGUAACAGAUGUGAACAUCUUUGUAAAGGCAACUGUUAUACGUGUCAACAAUCGAAGGGGACAAUCUGUACGACAUGUAAGGAAACAUUUUAUGAUAUCGACAGUAGCUGUGGUAAGACCUGCUCAGUCGGGUGUAUUGGUGGAAAAUGCAACUAUCUAGAUGGCACAUGCUCAUGUCGUAACUUCAAAGGAGGAAGAUGCGAUGCGUGUGUUGACGGACGGUAUGGUUCAACCUGUGAUCAGGUUUGCAGUUUUGGCUGUGCAACAAUUUCCUGUGACAAAAACACUGGUUCUUGUGGAUGCCAUGCCUUUUUUAUAGGCGAUAAAUGCGAUAUUUGUACAGAUGGGGACUAUGGUUUUCCAGGCUACACAUAUUCGAAAUGUGGAACAGCUUCAAAGGCUAGCGUUGGCGAUGACUUUCUCACUGCCACUACUGUCAAGAUUUAUGGUGGGGUAUUAGUGGCGAUAAUAGCGAGUGUGUUAGUGGUUGUGAUGUUAACAAAGAGAUAGAGGAACUUCUGUUUGUGUUCCAUGUGACCUAGAUGUAACAGGAAGAAGGCAAACGACGCAAUACCAAAUGGGAUAAAAACCAGCAAUCGAAAAACUGGAGAUACAGAAUUCAAACUCAUGUACGAGUAUUUAGACGAAAACACACGUGAAUAGCAACAGAUACCUGAAAAUGGAAUGCCACUUGUUUCGACUGUUAUGGUUGGAAUGCGGUCUAUUGAUGAUGUAAAUACGGUUUAUUACGAAAAUGCAAAUAAAGUUGAUACUGUGUAAGGAGAAAAUGGAAUGACCAAUUGUGUAUUUGUGACUACGUAAAAACAGGACACUGUUAGAUAGUACUGGACUAAUUCUUGUAGAUCCUAGUGGAAAUCAAAAAAUGUUAACCAAAUAUAAUCAAAUAUAUAUAUAUAUGUACGAACA
This is an RNA transcript of Mya arenaria, 1529 nucleotides long. It is a transcript of the gene named multiple epidermal growth factor-like domains protein 10, with no coding region annotated. The transcript has 6 exons. The record is from RefSeq and is a predicted model, not a curated record. NCBI's taxonomy places the organism in Eukaryota, Metazoa, Mollusca, Bivalvia, Myida, Myidae.